CACAAGUGAUGUUUUACUCACGAUGGUCUUCAGACAUUAUAUGUUGAAAUUGCCAACUGGCAUUUUGCUGAUGUGACUUC
This is a small nucleolar RNA of Ruditapes philippinarum (Manila clam), 80 nucleotides long. RefSeq annotates it as small nucleolar RNA SNORD35. The transcript has a single exon. The record is from RefSeq and is a predicted model, not a curated record. Lineage: Eukaryota; Metazoa; Mollusca; Bivalvia; Venerida; Veneridae.